Molecule: long non-coding RNA, 1140 nt
Organism: Micropterus salmoides (largemouth bass)
Lineage: Eukaryota; Metazoa; Chordata; Actinopteri; Centrarchiformes; Centrarchidae
Exons: 10
Source: RefSeq, a predicted model, not a curated record
CCCAGAUGAGACGCUGCGGAGCGGUGAGCUACUCAACAUGAUCGUAGAUGUCAGACUCCACACAGUUUAGUCUCUGGUCUGGGAGACCUUGAGUAGUACAGCACCUGGCAGCUCUUCCUGGCUACUGGCACCCCCCUAGAGACCUUCAUCCCCAUCCUGCAGCACCUUAAAUAUAAAGAACACCUGGAUGCCUUGUCGUGUCUGCUGCUUCUCCGCAGAGUACGACAGGCCCAGUGAAGAGAUGGUGAAGAUGGUCCUGAGUCGUCCCCGUCACCCCCGAGGACCAGUUCACAACCAACAUCCUGAGACACUGGGCGUCCAAUGACAACGCGCUGGGAGAAUACAUCAAGGCCCAGCUGAUCAAGAACAACCAGCCCCGUGAGAGAGUCUUCACAGUUCCAGCAGUAAACUGGCUCAGCUCACCCUGGAACAGAUCCUGGAGCUCAUGGACAACCUGAGCCUAAGCAACACCCAGAAAAGCUACCUCUGCAGCACGUUCAGGCCAGCUGUGACGAGGUGUACAAAGACUUCCAGACCAACCCUCCCAAGUCCUGCUGUAAGGCUCAUCCCUCCUCGCUUCCGCUCAACGAGGAGGAGACCGCCUCCUGCAGUCCCUCACAGGGUGAUUCCGGGCGAGGGCCGAGUCUGUCCCUCCAUAUCUACCACACGACUCUUCAACUCCUUCAGCUGGGAGGGGAUGAUGAAAAAUUGAAGGGCUCGGUCCAGCAGCCUCUUUUGCUCCUCCAAGUCACUCUUGCCCCUCCUCAGAGCUUCCCUCUCCAGAUCUCUCUCCUCUAGCCGCCGAGUCAGCUCGUCCCUCUCCUUGCAUAGGCGGGUGGUUCCUCUCUUGGCCUCCUCCAGUUGAGACUUCAGGGAGCGGUUUUCAUCUUCCAGAGCUUCCAACGCCUCCUCGGCCUCCGAGUUCCGUGGCACACUGGAGUGAAGCCUUGUCUGGAGAAUGAGAAAAUAUCCACUGAUGAACAUGGGCCUACAGCGUGUGGCUUCAUUUGCAUUUUUUCACCAUCAUGCUAUCCCAGAUGACGCUUCACCUCCUUCGCCUUCUCGAGCGCCUUUUCCAGCUCGGCUUUGUCUUUCUGUGACUGCUCCUUCAACCUGCUGAUCUCAGACAGAAGCUCAGCC